This 253-nucleotide ribosomal RNA is filed under the name uncultured bacterium. RNAcentral's name for it is "partial 16S ribosomal RNA". It matches the Rfam family "Bacterial small subunit ribosomal RNA", at positions 524 to 776 of the family's 1533-position model. The record is from RNAcentral.
UACGUAGGGGGCAAGCGUUGUCCGGAUUUACUGGGCGUAAAGAGCGCGCAGGCGGUCGAUCAAGUCGAGUGUGAAAGCCCCCGGCUCAACUGGGGAGGGUCAUUCGAUACUGAUCGACUCGAAGGCAGGAGAGGGUAGUGGAAUUCCCGGUGUAGUGGCGAAAUGCGUAGAUAUCGGGAGGAACACCAGUGGCGAAGGCGACUACCUGGCCUGUUCUUGACGCUGAGGCGCGAAAGCUAGGGGAGCAAACGGG